RNAcentral lists this ribosomal RNA (344 nucleotides) under uncultured bacterium. Its description in RNAcentral is "bacterial SSU rRNA". It matches the Rfam family "Bacterial small subunit ribosomal RNA", at positions 8 to 334 of the family's 1533-position model. The record is from RNAcentral.
AGGGUUUAUCCUGGCUCAGGAUGAACGCUGGCGGCGUGCUUAACACAUGCAAGUCGAACGAAGAGAAUUAUCGGAAGUUUUCGGACGGAAGAUAAUAAUCUUAGUGGCGGACGGGUGAGUAACGUGUGGGCAACCUACCUUAUACUGGGGAAUAAUCACUGGAAACGGUGACUAAUACCGCAUAAUGUCUUUGACAGGCAUCUGUUAAAGAAGAAAGGAGCAAUCCGGUAAAAGAUGGGCCCGCAUCUGAUUAGCUAGUUGGUGAGAUAAUAGCCCACCAAGGCAUCGAUCAGUAGCCGACCUGAGAGGGUGAUCGGCCACAUUGGGACUGAGACACGGCCCAA